This is a long non-coding RNA of Carcharodon carcharias (great white shark), 259 nucleotides long. RefSeq lists it as uncharacterized. The transcript is spliced from 3 exons. NCBI's taxonomy places the organism in Eukaryota, Metazoa, Chordata, Chondrichthyes, Lamniformes, Lamnidae. The record is from RefSeq and is a predicted model, not a curated record.
CACAGUCUGGGAGGGAAGUUCAAAACUAACACCUCUGAUGGAAGGAGAAAGGACAGAGAGGACUAGUCAAAGUCCGUUGCAGAAUAGAUUAACAGCAUCAGAGAAAAAUAAUGACGUAACUACUGCUACUGCAUAAGUCACCCAUCUACAUGUUCAAUACUAUCAGUACAGGAUCAACAUCAGGACUACUUGCUGGAGUAGAGGGUAAAUGCCAACAUGGCUCGUUUCCAUGUUGUAACUUCCUGGCCAAUAUUUCUCC